AUUGAACGCUGGCGGCAGGCCUAACACAUGCAAGUCGAGCGGAUGAAGGGAGCUUGCUCCUGGAUUCAGCGGCGGACGGGUGAGUAAUGCCUAGGAAUCUGCCUGGUAGUGGGGGAUAACGUCCGGAAACGGGCGCUAAUACCGCAUACGUCCUGCGGGAGCAAGUGGGGGAUCUUCGGACCUCACGCUAUCAGAUGAGCCUAGGUCGGAUUAGCUAGGUGGUGGGGUAAAGGCCUACCAAGGCGACGAUCCGUAACUGGUCUGAGAGGAUGAUCAGUCACACUGGAACUGAGACACGGUCCAGACUCCUACGGGAGGCAGCAGUGGGGAAUAUUGGACAAUGGGCGAAAGCCUGAUCCAGCCAUGCCGCGUGUGUGAAGAAGGUCUUCGGAUUGUAAAGCACUUUAAGUUGGGAGGAAGGGCAGUAAGUUAAUACCUUGCUGUUUUGACGUUACCAACAGAAUAAGCACCGGCUAACUUCGUG
RNAcentral lists this ribosomal RNA (484 nucleotides) under uncultured bacterium. Its description in RNAcentral is "partial 16S ribosomal RNA". It matches the Rfam family "Bacterial small subunit ribosomal RNA", at positions 30 to 507 of the family's 1533-position model. The record is from RNAcentral.